AAGGGGAAAAGUCCUGGCGGCGCCGGUAACCACAACCCCUGCUCCAGUGGCGGCGUGUUUGGGCGGCAAAGGAGGGGCUCACCGUGUUGGAGGAAGGUUCUGGAAGGAGGUUGAAGGUGAAUCCCUAUGUUUUGGAAUCCUGGGCUUAACUAUAUUUGAUUUGGGCCCAAUCUCUAAUGCAGCACAGAAUUUUGUUAAUUUGAAACACAGCAUUAACUCCAUUUCCAUCACGCACACUUCGUGAAACACAAACGCAAUGAAACACGUGUGCAAAAAAGCUAAGAGCUCAGUUGCGGACUUCCGAUGGCGGCUAUACCACCACCGCUCAUGGCGGCAUCGUUUCCCUGGGAUCGUGCUGUACCAGCGACAAGCCUCGAGUUCUCCAGCGGUGGCCAUAUUGAUGGCGGCACACGCGGUUGUUGGCUCGUUUCGCAGUGGGUGGCGCGCGAGGAAGGAGCAAGGAAGAAGCGCGAGGUGGUGACAGAAGGGGAAAAAGUCCUGGCGGCGCCGGUAACCACAACCCCUGCUCCAGUGGCGGCGUGUUUGGGCGGCAAAGGAGGGGCUUACCGUGCUGGAGGAAGGUUCUGGAAAGAGGUUGAAGGUGAAUCCUUAUGUUUUGGAAUCCUGGGCUUAACUAUAUUUGAUUUCGGCCCAAUCUCUAAUGCAGCACAGAAUUUUGUUAAUUUGAACACAGCAUUAACUCCAUUUCCAUCACGCACACUUCGUGAAACACAAACGCAAUGAAACACGUGUGCAAAAGAGCUAAGAGCUCAGUUAGUCAGCACACACUUUCCGUUUUCUGUUGUUAACUUCGAGUUCCGUUGUGCCGUGCUGUAUAUAUACUCAUACUUGUAAUAAUCCAAGGUCCCCACAGUUCCCCAACCUCUCCGCGCAUCUUCUCAUUCAAAUCACCACUUUUGUGAUACUUUCCUAUUCAAAUGCUACCGCCACAGCCUCCUCCUCCUCUUCCUCCCCUCCGCCUCCUCCUCCUCCUCCUCCCCCUCCGCCUCCUCCGUUUGAAUGUGCUUUGUGUGGGAAAUCUUUUCCCCAAAAAAGAAGUUUAGAGGACCAUUGGAGAACCAAGAAGCUUUCAAAGUACAGACACAUCUGCGCGUACUGCAUUAACAGGUUUGAAACGAAAGCCUCCUUAAAACAACACCUCUGUGAGUGCGUUCAUUUCCUCCUCCACCACCAGAAUCAGUGACGCUUUGCGUCACUCCUAAAUUAUUUUUUGUUCAAUGACCUGGCUAUUGGCAUCUAUGGAUACAAUCUUCAAAAACAAGAUUGUGCACUGCAAAUUCUUCUAUGAGAUGUGGGAUACUAUUCUUGAAUUCUUUAUAACAUCAUCAAGGGCAAGAAUUCAGAAGAAAAUUGAGAAUCAAGGAAAGCAUCUUUGUUCAGUGGUAUAUGACUCGCCUCCACCAGAAACUCGAACAAGGCAGGACUUCAUGCAAGCAUGUUCAAUGAUGCAACAAGUGAGUUUGAUGUUCUAGUGGCCAGUGAUGCCAUUGGAAUGGGUCUUAAUUUAAAAUAUCUAGGAUCAUAUUUUCAACGUUGAAGAAGUUUGAUGGUUUUGAAUUUUGGGACUUGACACUACCUGAAAUAAAACAGAUUGCAGGGUUUUUGCAUGCAUAUUAUUGAAGGGAGAGCUGGUAGAUAUGGGUCAAAUUUUCCUGUUGGAGAAGUAACAUGCAUAGAUGCAGAGGAUCUACCCUUGCAAACGAUGAUGGGUCAAAUUUUAUAAUAUUGGUAGAUAUGGGUCAAAUUUUCCUAUAGUAUUUUUAAAAACGAUGAUGAUAAUUAGUAGUUACGACUUAGACUAGUAUUAUGGUAUUUUGCAAUGAUGAUAUAAUGUGAUUGUGGAUCUUACAUAAUACUUUAUAAAUCAAAUUUGAUGGUAAA
This is an RNA transcript of Arachis stenosperma, 1902 nucleotides long. It is a transcript of the gene named ATP-dependent RNA helicase SUV3, mitochondrial-like, with no coding region annotated. NCBI's taxonomy places the organism in Eukaryota, Viridiplantae, Streptophyta, Magnoliopsida, Fabales, Fabaceae. The transcript has 7 exons. The record is from RefSeq and is a predicted model, not a curated record.